Molecule: ribosomal RNA, 1203 nt
Filed under: Chryseobacterium sp.
Lineage: Bacteria; Pseudomonadati; Bacteroidota; Flavobacteriia; Flavobacteriales; Weeksellaceae
Description: bacterial SSU rRNA
Rfam family: Bacterial small subunit ribosomal RNA
Source: RNAcentral
CUUUCGAAAGGAAGAUUAAUACCCCAUAACAUAUUAAGUGGCAUCACUUGAUAUUGAAAACUCCGGUGGAUAGAGAUGGGCACGCGCAAGAUUAGAUAGUUGGUGAGGUAACGGCUCACCAAGUCAAUGAUCUUUAGGGGGCCUGAGAGGGUGAUCCCCCACACUGGUACUGAGACACGGACCAGACUCCUACGGGAGGCAGCAGUGAGGAAUAUUGGACAAUGGGUGAGAGCCUGAUCCAGCCAUCCCGCGUGAAGGACGACGGCCCUAUGGGUUGUAAACUUCUUUUGUAUAGGGAUAAACCUUUCCACGUGUGGAAAGCUGAAGGUACUAUACGAAUAAGCACCGGCUAACUCCGUGCCAGCAGCCGCGGUAAUACGGAGGGUGCAAGCGUUAUCCGGAUUUAUUGGGUUUAAAGGGUCCGUAGGCGGGCUCGUAAGUCAGUGGUGAAAUCUCAUAGCUUAACUAUGAAACUGCCAUUGAUACUGCGAGCCUUGAGUAAGGUAGAGGUAGCUGGAAUAAGUAGUGUAGCGGUGAAAUGCAUAGAUAUUACUUAGAACACCAAUUGCGAAGGCAGGUUACCAUGUCUUAACUGACGCUGAUGGACGAAAGCGUGGGGAGCGAACAGGAUUAGAUACCCUGGUAGUCCACGCCGUAAACGAUGCUAACUCGUUUUUGGGGCUUUAAGCUUCAGAGACUAAGCGAAAGUGAUAAGUUAGCCACCUGGGGAGUACGUUCGCAAGAAUGAAACUCAAAGGAAUUGACGGGGGCCCGCACAAGCGGUGGAUUAUGUGGUUUAAUUCGAUGAUACGCGAGGAACCUUACCAAGGCUUAAAUGGGAAUUGACAGGUUUAGAAAUAGACUUUUCUUCGGACAAUUUUCAAGGUGCUGCAUGGAAGUCGUCAGCUCGUGCCGUGAGGUGUUAGGUUAAGUCCUGCAACGAGCGCAACCCCUGUCACUAGUUGCUAGCAUUAAGUUGAGGACUCUAGUGAGACUGCCUACGCAAGUAGAGAGGAAGGUGGGGAUGACGUCAAAUCAUCACGGCCCUUACGCCUUGGGCCACACACGUAAUACAAUGGCCGGUACAGAGGGCAGCUACACAGCGAUGUGAUGCAAAUCUCGAAAGCCGGUCUCAGUUCGGAUUGGAGUCUGCAACUCGACUCUAUGAAGCUGGAAUCGCUAGUAAUCGCGCAUCAGCCAUGG